This 256-nucleotide ribosomal RNA is filed under the name uncultured bacterium. RNAcentral's name for it is "partial 16S ribosomal RNA". It matches the Rfam family "Bacterial small subunit ribosomal RNA", at positions 524 to 776 of the family's 1533-position model. The record is from RNAcentral.
GACGUAGGUGGCGAACGUUAUCCGGAAUUAUUGGGCGUAAAGGAUGCGUAGAUGGUGUAGUAAGUUAUCGGUGGUAAAUCGAGGCUCAACCUCGUGGAAGUCGGUGAUACUGUUAUGCUAGAGGAUAGGAGAGGUUAACGGAACUCCCUGUGGAGCGGUGAAAUGCGUAGAUAUAGGGAAGAACACCAAUAAAGGCGAAGGCAGUUAACUAUUCUAUUCCUGACAUUGAGGCAUGAAAGCGUGGGGAGCAAAACGG